GUAGUUGUCAUAUUCAUAUCACGUUCGCAUUAUGUAGCACGGUUUCCUCGAGAUUCUCAGCUCACGCAAUCUACGACGCAUUGUUUUAUUGAUUAGAGAUUCGCAAACAGUUUAAAUUAACAUUGUCUCGAUAUGUUCCGCUUACCUUUUGGUGAAAGGGUCGACCCCAUGGAGGAGAAACGACAGGCUAGAGAAAACACCAUCAAUAGUGUUAUUACGUUCUGUGUACUCUGCGCUGUCAUAAGAGUCGCCCCACUGAUCCUGGAGCACACCGGCAUAUAAACAACCUGAGCAGCCAUCAUUCUAUGACUCCGCCGUUCUGUUUUACCACCAUGCUGCCAUGGUAGCCACUGUAGCCAAUAGGAUGUCCCUUAUUUUGCGAUUUUUAAAAUUAACAACGCAUACCCCCUAAAUAUAACGAUACUACUCCAAAACACAUUGAAAUUUUUUUUCAGGAUAUUCCAGUAACAAGAACCCGUGCCGACUUACAACUGAAAUGCUCAUACAAAUUACUAUGGCAAUAUUAUACAAAAUCGAUGUAAGAAAAAAAAAAUUGACAUUCUCAUUGUAUGGGAAAAUCUCAUGAAAGUCAGCAUGGGUUACAGUUACAGGAAUGACCUGAAUUUUUUUUACAGAGAGUUUUGGGAUAAAAGAAACUGAUUUAGGGGGUAUGCGUAAAUCGUAAAAUAAGGGACAGCCUAUAUAGUAGCCAGCGAUCAUUCAUCCAAAUGUUCUGUUUCUGUCCAAAUAUUAUGAAAUAAAAUUAUUGUAGUUGUUAUUUUAA
This is a long non-coding RNA of Cydia fagiglandana, 784 nucleotides long. RefSeq lists it as uncharacterized. The transcript has 2 exons. NCBI's taxonomy places the organism in Eukaryota, Metazoa, Arthropoda, Insecta, Lepidoptera, Tortricidae. The record is from RefSeq and is a predicted model, not a curated record.